UCAAUAUUUUUAUCUUUUAGAGUUCUUAUUAUCAUGUUUUAUAAGCUAUUGUUCUUUAAUUUCGUUUUCUUAUGUUAUAUUUCUGGAUUUGAAUCUUUUGUUUUAAUAUGAUUGAAAUCUUUGAUCCUGUAUUCUGGCAAUUGGUUUGUUAAUUUUCGAUUCUGGAUCUUGAUUCCUGUGAUUGGUUUGGUUCUUAAACCUAUAUUUGAUCGAAGCUUAUAAUUGUGAUAAGCUUACAAAAUCAUAGCUUCUAUGGUGUUAACUAAGCUUAUAAUUGCUUGAUUUCUGAAUCUUCCAACAUUUUUAUUGUUGUUUAGAAUUUCUUCUAUGCUAUAAUAUAUAUGUUUAAAUUUCGUUACUUCACUCUAUUAUUCAAUUCAGAUGUUCUUCUUGGCUAUUAUAUAUGUUUCAGAUUUGUUUGUUUCAGUCUAAUAUUGAUUCAGAUGUUAGUCUUAUAUUUUGUUAGAUUUAUUAAAAAGAUUCUGAUCUAUGUUCAUCUUAUAUUGGUUUGGUUGAUUAAAUAUAUUAUUUUAAACAAAACAAAAAAUGCUAUGGUAUGUUACAAAUUUAGACUAUUUAUUUUGAUUCAAAUGUUCAUCUUAUAUCUUCUAGAUUUAUUGAACAGAUUCCAUUCAAGUGUUCCUCUUGUUUGGUUGAUUAAACCUAUAUUAUAAUUAAAACCAAAAAAAGCUAUGAUGUUUUCCAGAUUUAGAAUAUUUAUUGAGAAAAUAGCCUAUCAAAUUUGGUAGUCUGAAAUUCCUCUUUAGGCAAAAUAAUUCAUUUCAGAGAACAAUGUAGUAGUCAUUUUAGCUGGUUUAAAUGUAGAAUGUUUAUUGGACCGGUUAUCUAUCUAUUUUGUAUCCUUUUACGCUUGCGUUCUUGUUUACCCCAAAUUAGUUCUUCGCCUGGAGAUUGAAGCUAGCGAUUUGCUUGAACCUAAGAUCCAUUGUCUGGUUCUCUUUGCUGGACCUUAACAGUAUGGGUCAGUUUAAGAUGAAGUUAAAGCUGAAGUGGUUAGAGAAGAUGAAGAAAGAUAAGAGGGAGUUAAAGAACAGGCUUACGCUAUUAGUCUUUCUCCUCCUGUUAGCGAAACCUAUGAUAUAAAUCAUCCAGAUGGUAGCGACAAAGUCUACAAGUCCAUCGUCCUUCAUAACAAGCUCACUGUUCUUUUAAUAUCUGACCCAUCUGCUGCAAGCAACUCUGCUGCAAUGAGUGUGAAGUUUGGAUCUUUUGAUGAUCCAAGUGAUAUGCAAGGACUAGCCCACCUGAUAGAACACAUGGUUUUCUCUGGUUCAACUAUUGAUGGUGGAGAAAACGAUUUCAAGGACUUUGUGGGGAUGCAUGGUGGUGAUGUUUUUGCUAACACGGAACCGGAAUAUAUGGGUUUCUCUUUUACGAUUGUAAAAGAUCAUUUCAAAGCUGCGUUGGAAAUGUUUGCCAAUAUGUUCAACUAGUAAUCAACCACCGUGAGAGUUAACGUGAGUACGACACCUAGGAAAGUGACUUCUCAAAUAAUAUUAUAGAGAUGAACCUCUAAUGGAUAUUGAACGUUUUAAAAAAGAGAUGAAGACACUCAAUUCAGAGUUUGAAUCUAACAAAUAUAAAGACACCAGCCGGAUGGAACAAUUAUUUUCUCAUACCUCUCCAGAAAAUCAUCCAUUCAACCGGUUCACAUGGGGCAACAAUCAAUCCUUCUCUGGCCAUGAACCGCAAGCCCUCCGUGACUGUGCUUUGAAGCUGUUCCGAAGUCACUUCGUAGGAGCUUCCAUGAAGCUCGUUAUAAUCGGUUCAGAAGCUGUAGAUGAACUUGAAGAUUUGGUCAUUGUGUAUUUUUCCAAUCUUAAACGUUGGAGAAAGACUAAUUUUGUAUUUCCUGAGUAUAAUGAUCGUCUUUGGAAGCAUGGCGUUUCUUACACACUUGAGUCUUUAGAAGAUGCCCAGAGUAUGAAGAUUUCUUGGAUAAUUCCUCCUAUCUCUCUCUCUCAUAUCUGAGAUAAGGCCAGAGCAGUUAAUUCACAGACUUAUAUGUGAAGAGAGUGAAGGCUCUCUUUGCUUCUUUUUCAAGUCCAAGCACUGGAUCACUUCUUUCACUGCACCAGUUGGUCAUAGAUAUGACCCAUGCUGGAUUGGUGGUAAUUUAGGUGGCGGAUACAGCUUUGCGUGAGCUCUUCUUCUUCUUCUUCUUCUUUAGAAGAGCUUUGGGCUUGUGUAUUUUUGAAUUUGAUCGGAGAUGCUUACCUAUGCGUAGUAGUGCAAGAAAAAAAAACAUACUGUGAGCGACAACAACGACCUGUACACAAACAAUAUUGAUAAUUAAAACAAAUAGACGACACCUUGAUGAGGCUUGGAGGUGCUA
Molecule: RNA transcript, 2356 nt
Organism: Brassica rapa (field mustard)
Lineage: Eukaryota; Viridiplantae; Streptophyta; Magnoliopsida; Brassicales; Brassicaceae
Gene name: nardilysin-like
Source: RefSeq, a predicted model, not a curated record